RNAcentral lists this unclassified non-coding RNA (289 nucleotides) under uncultured Diversisporaceae. RNAcentral describes it as "sequence contains ITS2". Lineage: Eukaryota; Fungi; Glomeromycota; Glomeromycetes; Diversisporales. The record is from RNAcentral.
AACACAAAUUGUACUUUCCAGUAUUCUGGGAAGUAUGCUUGGUUGAGGGUCAUUAAAAUAACAUUCGUGAAUUUUUUUGCGGAUUUGAGUUUUCCAGUGUUUAUAAAAAAUGUUGGUAACUUUAAAAUUAUUAUUACUUGGUACAAGUUGAAGACGUUCUAUAUGUGUGUGGUUCGCUGACAACUUGUCCAUCAUCAUAUAUUAUGCGCGCACUUGGUUUUUUACGCUCUGUGCGAGUAUAUAUUUUUUUUAUGACCUCAGCUCAAGUAAGAAUACCCGCUGAACUUAA